AUUUCUUCUUUUAACUUUUUCCUCAUUUUUUCCGUCUUGGAUCUGAUUCUAGACUCUGGUUGGGUGUUAUGUAUGUAAUUCUUUCUUGUAUUGGACUGUGCCUUACUUCUAUCUUAAUUAUAUCGGUGUAAUAUUUUCCUCGCUGGCUUUCUUUAUGCACUCCUCCAUCAUCACGCAACCACCCCUACACUUUACCUACCAUGGUAGUGAAUCGUGUUUAAAUUUAUAUCUUGCAUGCUGAAAUAAGAUGUGAUUUUGUUGAACACUCUAUGCAGUUAAAAAGGCGGAGAAUGUUGUGGGCGUUGUACCUCAUGCGAGAUCCACUUUUCACCAAGUAUACCAGGUAAUUAUGUGUUUUCUUCUAGUUACAUAUGCUUCUGAUGGUUCCGCUAUUUACUAACUAAUUCCUCCAAUGCGAACUUGGAAACAAUAGAAUGAUGCUAAUGCCAUCUGUCAUUGCAGGCAAAAACUUGAAAGCACUCAAAGGCUAGUGCAAACCGUUCCCAUUCUUGGAUUUGUUGCAGGUAUGUUUGAACUUUCAAGACAUUCACGGAGUUCAGAUUUUUGCUUCUAUUUUCACAAUAUAUUGACAUUUGCUGGUCUUGAAAUGCAGAAAAAUUAAUUGAAAUUCUUAUUGGAGUUCAAACGCGUUUCACAUACACGUCUGGUUCAUAACAGGGUGAAGCUAUCAGGAGAAAUUUGUAGCUUGUAGCUUCUGCAUUUAAGAUAUUUGCAGUCUCUUUCCUUAUUCUUUUUCUUGGGGAUUUCGUUUCGUGGCAUAGUUGAUCGAUUUUUGUUGUUUGGGUAUGUUCCAAAAUUGUCAGUUUUCCUUUUUUGGUAUAAUUAUCUGGUAUCCAAAACUCACUUUCCCAGCAUUAAAGAGGAAAGCAAUCUCGGUUUCUCCGAAAUUGUCUAAGUAGAUCAAUCCUUUAUCAUAGUUCAGUAGUGAAAUGAAUGGUUCAACAAUUACAUCUUAGUGUAGCCUUCAAUGUAACAGGCCAGAACCAGAGCCAGAGCCGGCUUUGGGUAAAGCCUCUAAAGUCUAGGCUUUAGGCCUCCAAUUUCUGUAUAAUUAUAAUUAGGUAGUUUUUGUAAAAGGAAUAAAAAAUAAUACUAUAAAAGUAAAAAUAAUUUUUAAAUUUUGAUUUGACCAAAAAAUAUGCUCAAAAUUUAUGAAGAGAUGUGACGUAGUAAGCACUAUUUUUUAAUAUGAACAUUAAUCAAUUUGAAUAUGUUAACUAGAAAAUCAUGCUUAAGAUUAAUAAUGUCUCAAGAAAGACCGAGUGCAUUAAGUAUAUUAUCAAUUGAAAAAGAAUUACUAAAUGAAAUCAAUUAUAAAACAAUUAUUCAUAACUUUGUAUCUUAAGAAGUUGGGAAAAUAAAUUUUAAGAAAAACAUUUAAGGGUCACUUGUUGAAAGGCCACAAAAAGUAUUGAGCCGCCCCCGGCCAGAACGUCCUCUUAGCUGUACGUUGGGUGUAAGUGCUUGAACUGAAAUAACAGCAAAUUGGACAUUUACCAACAAUCUUAAUCCACAGCAGCUCCGUUGUGAACGAGAACGUUGAAAGUGCUGGCUAUCACAGAACUGCUGCCUCACCUCAACUUCUAUUUCCAAUUUUACUUCCACUCACUGUGCAAUAUGAAACAAAAGAUUCUCCAACCCUUUUUUGUACUCGUCUAUUCCUCGAUCAACUAGAUGGGUCCUCCAAAUGCAGCACCCCUUGGAACCUUCCUGCAAGAAGGCAGAGCAAUAAUUAAGCAUUUUCAAACAGGUAGGCCACAACACAUUACGGAACAUGAAAAAGAAAACAAAUUGAACGAUUUUCUGACCUUCAAAUGAUAUUUAAAUACAAAAACUGGUUAAAUCAGGGCAUUGGAUCUAUAUAGAAGGUUAUGUUGUACAACACUAUGGUUGUGAAUCCGCAUAUUCAUCAUGCGUUCUGUAUAAUAGGUACUUAAAAGCAAAUUCAUCAUGAGUUCCAUGCUUUUGAAGGUGUAAAGCCAGAAUAUUCCAGAAAAAAGCACAUUAGUAGACAUGGCAGCCAAUAGAUAGGAUGCAUCGCGAACAUAAAUAAAAGAAAACAACAUAUGAGAGGAUUGUUGGGUAAAUUUUCUCUUAUAGGCCUUCGUGAGAGCUAACAGCAAACUUAAUAGCUGCAUUUGUUUUCAAAAGACCACUCUACAGUCCGCACCAGAAGAAAAGAUGCAGAUUUUACACUGAGCAUUAUUAAUGUGCAUCUUUAGAAUUACAACACAUGAUCAUCAAGAUGGAACAUUGCCAAAUUCAUGAAGUGCAAGUGCAGUGUUGAGUGUACAACACCUCAUAAGGAGGCACCAAUUUUUCACAUUACAGACUACAAAACAGAAACUGGGUGAAAUCACAGUAUGUUUAGGGACACACCUUCAACUGGAAAACAGUUAGGUUAUUUAGUUUCAUGCACAAGCAUCCACUUUAAUAUGCUAAUAGCAUAUACCAAAUACUUUAUCCAAAUAUAUUAUCAAAUAGUUCAACCAGUUCAUAAAAGUGAAACAUCAAGACAAUCUUGAAAGUUGUCACUAUUGACAUGAUGUCCAUAGGAGAAGGCCAGAAAAAACAAAAGACAUAUUAAGUACAGAUAAUUACUGCUCUAAACUCCCACAAACAAGAAAGUCUGAUUAAAUAAACAAUGAUGAGACAGGAGGGACAGAAAAGGAGCUAUACUACCUUUUCAAUCUUGAACAGAACAUCACCAUGCAGGUCUAACAAUUUACUGUUUCAAGUCAGAAGAAAAAAGGGAUGAGAAUGAGCUAUAUUUAGAUAUCCAACGCUCCAUCCUAUCAUCCCGUAAGUUUGGAGAAGGAAAAGAUGUUGAGUAUGUGGUUCCCUUCUAUGAAAAUAUGUUUCAGAAUUCAGAUCAUCACACAUGAAUUGCCAGGAGAUGACUUGCUACAUAGAUAUAAGAACAUAUCAUUUAGCAAAAAUAACAAACCGCAGGCAAAGUGUAUUGAACAAAGUUACAAGAAAAAGGACAAGAGAUGAUUUUCCACAAAAUACGAUAGAUGCAUUUAGGGAAAAACUCAACAGCGACAUGUCAUAAUUAUUUAAGUCCACGAGAAGCCAACUUUCCAUGAUUAUUUGUCAUCAAAUAAAUGAGAACGAAUAGGCAAAAAUGGGCCAAAAUAAAGAUAAAAUUUUAGACAUUUCACUGAAAUAUAAUGAUAACCUGGGCGAGAAUCAGGUUUUUAGUCGCUAAUGAAACACAAAUAUUUCUGAGACUGAGAAAUCAGUUCUAGACUGUCUUUAUAUACUAUAGAAAUGGAAACUAAGGAGAAAGUAAUGCCUGGCCAACUCAAAUAUGUCUCUGUCAGUACAAGGAGGACAAAGGAUGAGCAUCAGCUGCCUGUGAGACACUGCUUUGGUUUGGUUCAGUUGCUGGAAUAGUAUUAGCAAGCUGAUAUAGCAGAGGUAUUGUGUUUGGCAACCCCUUGGAGCCUUCCAAAUAUGGCGGUGGCCUAUAACCAUCACAAUGUGUUGUGGUCGGCAACUCCAUCAGAGCCUUCCAACUAUGGUGGUGGCCUUUUAGCAUCACCAGGUAUGGUGUUCGGCGAGCCCUUGGAGUUUUCCGUGAAUGGUGCAGGCCUAUAAGUACCACCGGCCAUGACGCUUGGCCCUUCCAAGUAGGUUGGUGGCGUAUGAGCAUAUCCAUAAAAUUGACCAACAUGACCUCCCAUUGAACCCGCAACAGGUCCAUGCAAUACCAUAGGGGGCAUAAAAUAACGAUAAUUGUGGCCAGCAAUUCCACCACCUUGUGGCAGCCAUGGAUUUAAAAAAUGUGUGUGUUUCACUUCCUUGUUGCUCAACCACACAGUUCCAUCAAUUUUUCUCUUAUGCAAUCCGGCAUUUUGCUCUGCUGCCUUCUGAUCAGCUAUCUGCUUAUCGAAUUCAGCAAUUUCUUUCUGCAAGCCUAUUAUCUUCUUGUUGAUUUCCCAUCCAGGAAGGACCUCUGAAGGAUCAACCUCAUGACUUCUCAAACAUUUGUUGAUCGAUUUAAGAUCAGAUAAGUACUUCCUUUUUGCUCUAAUAUUCUUUUGAUGUGCACUUUGUAAUCCAUCCAUUUUUUCAAAUGAUUCUUUCGACUCUCUAACAAAUGUUGUCAAAAGUGUCUUAGGGUUAAACUUCUCCUGCAUUCCAAGAUCAGAGGCAGUAUUAACAGCUCUAAUUACCGCCUUAUUUGCUACCAUUUCCUCUAUUAUUUCUUGGAACUUGGCCAUGAUAACAUUUGAUCUUCCGAGUGCAUUGUAAACCCACUUAACGUUACUUACCUGAAGCAAAUUUCUGAUAUUUCCAUUAGUAAAUUUAUCUGGAAUCCCGAAAAAUCCAAUAAGCAACAGCAAACCCCGGGCAUCAAGUUCAUGAGGCUUUAUUCCUUCAGAAUUCAUCCUCUCCAACCACAAUAAAGCUGCUUGCUCCGCCUCUACUUUCACCCAUUCCUCAAUCUCAACUACCUUAUUAUCGAUUCCUUUCAUUAAUAACAAGCACUCCAAAAGCAACACUUUAGCUUUCCUUCCCCAGAAUAAAGGUGAGUCAUUAUCUUUCUUCGCAACAGCUUGAAGAUAAAACUUGCCAAUACAUUUAAAUACAAAGGUUGCAGGAUUAGGCGAAAGUGUCAAUGCCUUGGUUACUUGUUCACGCAGUCCUUGAAAAUCUGAGAUAUGUGUCAUCAUGUACUUCCGCAUACGACGAUGGUCCAUCCUUUCGCAGAACAUUUCCAACUCUGAACGACCCGAUUUCACCUCCUCUCCUUCACCCUCCCCCUUACGAUUAUCCAUCGUUUCGCAGACGAUUUCUAACUCUGAAUGAGGUAAUUUCAGUUCUGAACAAGGAGGUUUAGGAGAUUUCACUUCCUCUCCUUCGCCUUCGCCUUCGCCCUCCCGAUCGUCCAUCAUUUCGCACACCAUUUCCAACUCUGAACGAGGCAAUUUCGGCACUGAACAAGGAGGUUCCGGAGAUUUCGCUUCGUCUCCUUUGCCUUCGCCCUCCAGAUUAUCCGUCUUUUCGGAGACGAUUUCCAACUCUGAAUGAGGUAAUUCAGAUUUCACUUUCUCCCCUUCGUUUUCGCCUUCGCCCUCACCGAAUUCUUCUUUUACCACUUCCGUUACCUCUCCCUCGACUUCUUCUUCUUCUAGAUCUUCAGAGGGGUCCGAUUCCCAAGAUGAUUCCGGUUCCGUUUCUGGUUUUGGUGCUGGCUCUGAGGCUGCAACUGCUGGUAAUGAUGACGUAGCGGGUAAAGGAGGAGGCAGCAAUGAGUUGAUCGAGGUUCGAAUUGAAUCAAUAUGCCGUUGUAGAUCAUUGAAGCAUUGUUGGAAAGCGGAAAGGGAGUCGGAGAAUGUGCGGAGAUUGGCAGUGAACGAUUCCUGCGAAUGUAAUUGUUGCAAUUGAGCGGCUAAUGGUGGCUGCGACGCCGGCGUUGCUGCGGCGGAAUUGUCCAUCAGAUUCACGGGAGGAUAAGUGCAGUAAUAAUCCUUUACCCAAAAUUGUUAUACUACUACUUUUGAUUCGGGAAGACCACAGUUUACCCCCCUUCUCUUUUUCUUUUAACCAAAAGUCUUUGAAUUUAUAAAGAGGGAAAUUUAACACUUUUUUGGAAUUGUGAUUGAUGCUACCAAAUCCUAGUCUACGUUUGACAUUGAAACAAGGAUGAUAUUAGAAAUAUUUUAUAAUUUUUUCAUGUUUUAUUAGUUACAUUUUUCCUAACAUUUCAUAUUUUGAUUGUAUCCUCUUCGUUAUUCUAUAAUAUACCUAUUUUCACCUCUUAAACACCCCAUUUUCAUCCCCUCCUACUCCUACUUCAGUUGCAACCCAAAAGUGAGUUUCUUAGUCGAGCUGAAGGCAAGAUCAAUUUUUUGUUCGAGGUUCUUGAUACCCGAAUCGGAGAACUAUCCACAAAACCGCUUUAUGCUCCAAACUCGAGAAGAAGUUUUUUAUACGUAGUAGGUAUUACUAGGGGUGGGCAUCGGUCGGUUUGGUUCGGUUUUGUGUGUUAUCGAUUGGGUUUAUUGAUUUUCGAUUUUUA
This 6052-nucleotide long non-coding RNA is filed under the name Capsicum annuum. RNAcentral describes it as "long non-coding RNA (CANN_LNC009209)". The record is from RNAcentral. Lineage: Eukaryota; Viridiplantae; Streptophyta; Magnoliopsida; Solanales; Solanaceae.